CAGCUCUGAAAACAGGCUGCCUUUACAGAUGGCUUGGGAAUUUGUUGAAGACUCAUUUUAAUUUGAAAAUUCUGGUGUGUGAGAAGAGCUCACUUUCUGCAUACUUCUGCUGAAAAACAAAUCCCAGAAAAUCACCUGCUUUUCCCAUAAAAACUAUCAAAACAGGAGCCAUCACCAUCUAUAAGCUCAUUUGGAAAUAGCUCCAGAGCCAGGAUUUGCAAUUUCUUCUUCUGGGGAGCCUCUAUUCCACCUCUGAGAGCAGUCAGAGGAGGGUGAAGGGCAUCAGGGAGCAAGGAGAGUGGCACUGCAGGGGUGAAGGGAGGCGACAUGCACAAGUAAUCAGAUGGCACUGCAGCCACCAGGGGUCCUUGGUUGGGAGACACAGAGAGAAGAGAUGGACAUGAGAGACCCUCCAACCUGCUUUAAACUGAAAGAGGAACAAGAUGCUGCUCCUAUAACUUCUGCAGUUGUGGUGCUAUGGUUUCAGAUUCAUCUCCACAUUUUGAAUUUCAAGUGGAUUCACAGAAAUACAAGAGAGACUUCAAAGCUGGUCCCCUCCAAAGCAGCUUGGAGACGGCAGAUACCAAAAUGUGAGCUGGACUCUGAGUGAUCUUGGACUGAUCUGAGACCUCCACCCAGGUAGCUCUGCAGUCUACAGAGCAGAAAUUGAG
Molecule: long non-coding RNA, 671 nt
Filed under: Serinus canaria (Common canary)
Lineage: Eukaryota; Metazoa; Chordata; Aves; Passeriformes; Fringillidae
Description: lncRNA (ENSSCAG00000009674.1)
Source: RNAcentral